This is a long non-coding RNA of Salvia miltiorrhiza (redroot sage), 438 nucleotides long. RefSeq lists it as uncharacterized. The record is from RefSeq and is a predicted model, not a curated record. The transcript is spliced from 2 exons. NCBI's taxonomy places the organism in Eukaryota, Viridiplantae, Streptophyta, Magnoliopsida, Lamiales, Lamiaceae.
GUCUUUUCCCCUCAAUAAAAGGGGCUCCAUUAGUUACCCAAUUCUUCACCCCUUAACACGUGAUUUUUUUUCCCACCUUCCAUCUUCUUCCCUGUUAUGCAAAUUUUUUAUUUUACUACAUCAUCAAGUUCUUCAUGACCGAGAGCAUCUAUUCACAAAAAAAAAAAAAGAAAGCUUGUACUUCUUCCUGUUAUUAACACACCCCAUAACUCAGCUUCAGCUGAAAUCCUUUCUCAUUCACAAUUUGGAGGAACCAAUUUAUUUUCAAGAGGUCCUACAAACGAGGAUAUUUAGGCUCUUGAUCAGCUGAGUUAUAUUGUUUGGAUUUUCUCCAAAUCAGGUGAGGCUUUAUUUACGAAAUGUAUGUUUGAGCUAAUAAGCUCGGUUUUAUGUAAAGUUAAAGUUGAUGGUUCAUGCUUAAAAUGUUUUUGCUCUCUA